AGUGAUAAAUGGGGAACAUAUGUGAUCAACAAACAGUCACCUAAUAAACAGAUCUGGUUAUCAUCUCCUAUUAGGUAAUGAAUAAAUCUGUAUAAAAAUUUAAAAAAAAAAAAGAAUUUUCUAAACAAUUGAUUAGAAGGUUCUUUCAGUUUGGGUAGCUAAAGUUUCUAUUGCAUCCAAAGUAAAGUUUAAAAUCGUUUUUUAAUCUAAUGUCAUUAUCAUUGGAAUGGCCAUCUUAUUACCAUAAUUGCCUUUUGUGACUUAGUCUUAAGGGAUUAAAAUCGGGAUCAGAUAUAAAAUGUCCGGCUGGCUCAAAUGUUUUUUGGAAGCCCUGAUCCAAUCAUAAGAUUUUUUCAUAUUGAAUGACUCAAGCAGUAUAUGGGAUCUAUAUUUUACUUUUGUCUGAAAUAAGGGAGGUAAUUGGCUAAAUGUGGUAUAAAAAAUGUCACUUCCACUGUCAUAUGAUAGAGUUAUUCAAACUGAUUCCAAAAAUAUACUUAUAAAAUUGAGAAUGGAAAUGGGGAAUGUGUUAAAGAGACAACAACCCGACCAUAGAACAAACAAGAGCAAAAGGUCACCAACAGGUCUUCAAUGCAGUGAGAUAUUCCCACACCUGGAGGCAUCCUUCAGUUGGCCCUCAAACAAAUAUAUAUGCUAGUUCAGUGAUAAAGAAGGCCAUACUAAACUCCAAAUUGUACACAAGAAACUAACAUAAAAAAUAAUACAAGACUAACAAAGGCCAGAGGCUCCUGAUUUGGGACAGGCGCAAAAAUGCAUUUUAUGAUGGGGGUGAGAAAAUGAUGCAAAAUUGCCAUUUAAAGCAUAGAAAUAAGUUUCAGUAAAACUGUUUCUGUUCUUGAAGAUAUGAAAAAGUACAUGCAAGUAGAGAUUCUAGUACAGUUGCACUUUACACUGAGUGAAUAUAACCCUCAGGGACUGUCAGUCCACCUGCUACUUGUAAUUGCUUUGAGCUUAGGAAUGGAAGACUUUUAUUGAUUUUCAAGUCGAAGGUUUAAAACCUUGUCAACACAAUAAUUAGUACUUUGUCAGUCAUCUUCAAACUAGCAUACAUUAUCAUCAGCAGUAGGUGAUCUGGGAUCUCGGUCAUAAAACAUUUCUCAGUUAUGUACAUAUUUUGUGCUCCAAACACAUUUUCCAGUAUUUUAUUUGCUUGAUUCCUGAGUCUGAGUAAAACAAUCAUGCUCAAAAGUUUUAUGACAGGGAGACCAGUAGUCAAUUUCAGAAAAAUACUUACGACUAAGAUUUAUCUUAAGUAUACUGAUUUGUUCAUGACUUAAGACCAAUUUUAGUCGUAAGUUUUUUUGUGAAAUCGACUCCAGGUAUUUUAAUGUCAAUAUCAAAGUCUAAUAUUCAGUUGCCAUUUUCACAAAAAAUCUGAAGUGUAAAUUUUAUCGUAAGUCUUAAAUAUUCCUUAACAAUUCAACUAAAUAUUUUUAUCGUAAGAUUAAUUUUAUACUUAAGAUUUUUUGUGAAAAGGGCUACUGGUUUAUAUUUCAUUCUUUACUUACAGUGGUCCAAAAAGAUAUGAUUUUACAAAUGGUACUUGGAUUUAUUCUCACGACGGAGGAUCAUUACACCAGCUGUUAACAGAAGAAAUAUCCCAAGCUCUUUCAGAUGACAUUGGCUUUAGUGACUGUGAAUACUCGAAACAUUAGAAGGUGGUGUAGAUUGUUAUGUUCCCAUUUAUCUGUUUGUUAUUGCAUGUGGGUGUGAUAUCAUGUUAUUUUGUUAUUUAAUUUUUUACAUCUUGACGAUAUA
This 1779-nucleotide long non-coding RNA is filed under the name Mytilus galloprovincialis (Mediterranean mussel). Lineage: Eukaryota; Metazoa; Mollusca; Bivalvia; Mytilida; Mytilidae. The record is from RNAcentral.